AAAUGAAAAUGAAAAGAUAUCAAAAGAUACUAUGAUUAAAAUAUUUUAAAAAUUAUAUUUAUUAUUAGUCUAAAUUAAAAUAUAGUAUGAAUUUCUAUGAAUAGGUCCAUUAGGUCCAUUUUUAAAAAAAUCACACAUGAAUCAAGGUUGUGACUUCUGUUUUAAUAUAUAAGAUGGAAUAGAAUGCUCAUUCCAUCAAUUCCAAAAAAAUCAAACCAAAAUACAGAACAUUCCAAAACCAUUUGGAUAAAGAAUAAAUGGAAUGAAUUCAUUCUAUUUUUCUACUGCAUUUCAUUCAUCUUAUUUCAUUCUUCUAUAUUUCAUGUAUUUUUUUCUGAUUUAUCAGUUACAACCUAAUAAUUUUAGGAACGGAUAUAUGAUUCAAUCUGCUAUAACCAUAUAUAUACAGAAAUAUAUUUAAACAUUUUAUAUAUAACUUAACUUAUAAAAAUGUUAUAUUUUAUAUAAGUUCUAAAAUAUUAUUGUCUAUUAAAUUUAUUAUAUUAGUUAUUAAAAUUUUAAAACAUCCAAUUCUUUUGAUACUAUCUAAAAUACCUUAAAUAUAUAAAAGAGUUGUCACAAGAACAUUUUUCAUUUCAAAUUUGUGGAUUUUUGUCCUUGUUUCAUUGAAUUUUUAUUUGGCUUUCAAAUAAUUAAGUAGAAAUCAGUAACCGUAAAUCCGAUUAAGGGAAAAUGAGCAUUUAAUUCCCGAAGUAUUUGAAAUCGGCAGUUUUAAUACUCAAGUAUUGCUUGUGCAAAUUUAUUCCACAACUAAUAGUUGACUACGUAAAAUUAAGAACAAAAUAGUCAACUGUUAACUAAUGAAUGGAAAAAUAACGGUUUCCAGAAACUUUUUAACAGUAGAAUAUUUUAAUCAUGAUUUUGCGCAGUCAAUGAUUAGUUGGGAAAUAAAUAAACGCAUAUAAUACUUGAGUAUUUAAUUUGCCGAUUGAAAAUACUUGAGGAAUUAUAAGCAACACUCUUUUUUUUAGAAAAUCAUAAUUUGAAAUAUUCUCAAGUUAGAUAUAACCAAUAUACGAGAGUUUUAUCUAUUUGAAAGAGAUUUUUGAGUUUUAACAAUGACGUAUAAAAUAAUACAAAUAAUAUAGUUGCAUCGUAUUGUUCGUAUUGUUGAUGUACUUCAUGUUUAUAAAAUCACUUAUGGAUGAUUUCGUAUUGCUUAGACCAUUAUAUGUUGUACAUUGGAUCUCUACUGUAGACAAUCAUAUCUAAUUAUCUGUACUUUACACAUUCAUAUAUUGUACAUCAGCAAUGCAAUGCAAAUGUAAUUAUAUUAUGUUAUUUUAUAUGCUUUUAUAAACUAAAUAAAUCUUUUUUGGAAUUAAAUAUCUUGUAUAUUAUUUCAAAUUAUGAAUCUUUCUUAGGAAAUUCUCUCAAAUAGCUAUUUUUAAUUUUUUGUCACAAAAAUAGCCAUCAAGAAAGAAAAUGACCAAAAUAGCUUCUUUUUUGAAAAUUUUAAUAUUUAUUUUUUAUUUUUAAAAAUUUGAAACCAUAUCCCCAAAAUCACACCCUUUUAACUCUAAACGCUAAGUAUAAAUUAGUUAACCCUAGGGUAGAAAUAUAUUUUUACCAUUUAAUAAAAUUUAUUUUGGUCAUUUUCUUCAUUGAGGGCUAAUUUUGUGACAAAAACUAAAGAAGACCAUCUUAGGGAAUUUCUCAUCUUUCUAACUAUGAAUUAUUUUAAAAAUCAUCUAAAGUGAUAUAAACAUGAAGUACAUCAACAAUACGAUGUAACUGUAAUUAUUUUGUAUUGUUUUAUAUGUCAUUGUAAAAAAUCAACAAUCUCUUUCUAAAGGUAAAUAUCUCGUAUAGUGAUUUUAUUUAACCUGAAAAUAUUUUUACUUAUGUUUAUUUAAAGGGAUUGAUGUUAGUGACUUUCAAUCUUAUAAGAAAUAUAAAGAAAAAAAUGAGUUUUUAAUUCCUCAAGUAUUUUCAAUCGGCAAAUUAAAUACUCAAAUGUUAUAUGCGCAUAUUUAUUCCCCAACUAAUCAUUGACUGCGCAAAACCAUGAUUAGAAUAUUCUACCUUUAAAAAGUUGAAGGAAACCAUUAUUUUUCCGUUCAUCAGUUAACAGUUGACUAUUUUGUUUUCAUUUUUGCGCAGUCAACUAUUAGUUGAGGAAUAAAUAUGCGCAAGCAAUACUUGAGUAUUAAAACUGCCGAUUUCAAAUACUUCGGAAAUUAAAUGCCCAUUUUCCCAUCCGAUUAAGAUCCGAAACCAGAAAUUAUAUCGAGUUCAAGCGGAUUUUAGAGAUGUUACUAAACCUGAACUAAACCCGACUAAAUCCAAACUGAAUCUGAACAUAACUUUUAUAAUAUCAGAAACCCAAAAAUCUGAAACCCAACUAAACCCGAACUGGAAUCUGAUUUCCUGAAUGCCCAACCCUAGUUUUUCCACAUCUUAUUUAUACUCUUUGUAAGGUGAUAAAGGAAGCGCAAAGUUAAAGAGUUCUCAAAGCUAUUUAUAUGAGUUUAUAAAACAUUUAUAAAAAUAAAAUUUGUCCUAUAUAUGAAACUAGAAGUCACUUAAGUGAUUUUUUCUCACAUGUCGAUCAUUUGUGAAGUUCUCGCAAAAUUGUUAUAACUUUCUUGAUCAAUUAAUUUUAAUAUUAUUUAUUUUAGUUUAAAUUUAAAAUAAUAAUCUAGAACCAAAUAAUACCACUUCUCAAAUAAUAUAAAUUAUAUUACAAAUAGUUACUUAUUGUAACGAAUUGUUGAAACUAUAUAAAAAAUAAUAACGCUUGAUCAAUUCUUUUUAUAUUUAUAAACUGCAUAAUAUAAUGAACGGAAUUUUUAUAAUUUUUAAUUAUUUUAAUUAGGUCUAAAUUAAAAGGUAAGUUUAAAACUAAUUAUUAUUUCUUGCCAAAUAACCUAAAUGAUAUUACAAAUAAUAAUUAAUGGUAGCCGAUUUUCAAAAUUAUAGAAAGUGUAAUAAUGUCUGAUCAAUAAUGAAUAGAAAACAAUUUAUAGAAAUUGAUAUAAUGAUUUCAUAUUCAUUCAAAAUAUAGUCGUAUAUAUAAUAAUUAUUAAUCUCUUGUAAUGUUCAUAUAUGCUUUAUAAAUAAUUAGGCUUUAAAAAUUGGACGGAUUAUAUUUAAUGGAACAUGUGAAAACUUUUAUUUAAAAAAUGUGUUGCAUUUAAGUCAAAUAAUAUAGUGAAUAAAGUAAUGUUAUGAUUGAAAAGAAUUCUAAGAUAGAUUUUUAGUUCAUUGAUUGUAUGUUUUGUAUUACUGUUUAGAGAGAAAUUGGACGGAUUAUAUUUAACGGAACAUGUGAAAACUUUUAUUUAAAAAAUGUGUUGCAUUUAAGUCAAAUAAUAUAGUGAAUAAAGUAAUGUUAUGAUUGAAAAGAAUUCUAAGAUAGAUUUUUAGUUCAUUGAUUGUAUGUUUUGUAUUACUGUUUAGAGAGAAAAGUAAAUAUUUGGCAAAAAUAUGUAAAAAAAAAAGGAAAACAUUAGCAAAUAUUUAAUAAAAAAAUGAAAUUAUAGUGAGAAAAAUAAGAAGAGACCGAUGAAGAAGCAUAAUAUGUAUUGGAGAAGUUAAUGUGAUAAUUACAUAUAUAAUUCCACAAGCAUUUUUAUUUCUAAAUAUUCAUCAAUUAUUUUUACAUCAAAUUUAUAGAAACUUUACCACUGAUUUUCAAACUAUUUGAAGUUAAAAAUUAUAUUUUAAAUAUUUCUAAUUAUUAUUCAAAAUAUAUGACAUUGUAUACAUAAUAUAUAUUUUCAUACGUAUUUAAAUCUUUGAAUUCACGGACAACCACCUAGCAGUCAAUUAUAAUAGGAUUCUAAAUUAGUAAAUUAGAUAACUCUUUUCUUUGUGUGUUUGUGUUGUUGAUUCAACAGAGGAGAUGGAAUUAAAAAGGUUGAAGCAAAAGGGAGCCUGCAUGCACUACAUCGAUUCAUAUCGUAUAGAUUUCAACAAGGAAUUCCCUGGAACCAAAUUUGUUGGAGAUAUGGUUUUAAGUGGCUGAAAUAAAUGGAGACAAAUGACUUUAGAUGAUAAAAGUUCUUAUGUAGAAAUGGCUGAGAAAAUUACGACUCGGUACUGCGAGAGUUACGCGUAACAUAUAUGAUAUAAAAUUGACUUUUCUAAUUAAUUGUGUUUGAUUAUCAUCAUUUGAAUUUUAAUAUUUUAUCUAUUUUUAUACAUGUACAGUGGGUCUCUGCUUAUGUGAUUAGUUGAAUGAAUGAAGACAAAGCUAUUUUCGCCGCUCCAAAGAAGGACAAGGAAAAGAGAAUGCUGCAAUGAAGGAGGAGCCAAAAAAGGAGAAGAAACAAAAAUUGAAGAGAAGAGGCUUGGUGAAAAAAAAUAUUUUUAUCAUACCGAAUGAGACUUGAAGAACUUUAGACUUUUAAUGAUUUUGUUAGAUCCCAGAUUUGUAAUGAUAUAUGAUCAUAAAACUUUUGCAAGAUGGUCAUGAUUGUUUAAGAAAGUUAGAUUUUUUUUUUGACAUCAUGUUUAAGAAAGUUAUACAAAUAUAAGUUAAAAUGGAAAUAUUUUUUUUUGUUUUAAGAAAAAAAAUCAUUUUAUUUUUAAUGAUAAACUAAAAGUUAGCUAUAUACUAUUAUAUUUUAUAUAUCAUUAUGUUUAGAUAAUAUAUUAUUGUGAGUUUCAGAAAAGAUUAAUAUAUAGUUGCUGAUAUAAAAAUUAACAUAUGUUUAUCAAAAUAUUACAUAGUUUACGAUUUUAACAUGUUUAACGGUGAAUCUGCCUAUUUAAUAUAAUUUAGUCAUUUUUAAUUUAUAUAGUACUUCGAUUUUAAAAUAAAAUUUAUAUUAAUAUCAUUAUGAAUUAUUAACAUUUCAAAUAUUUAUAAUGGUAUAUUUUAUAAAUAACAUAUGAACUAGGUCGCCAUUUUAUUUGUUUAUGCCAAGCUGGCUUUCGAGUUCAGAAUCUGGUUAGGAUUAAUAUAGCUUCUGUUGAUGAAAAAAAAAUAUAUAUGCAGAUUUUCAUAAAAUACUAUAUAUUUAUUUGAUUAUUGUAAACAAUCAAGUAAGUGAUAUUAAAUCUAUAAGGAAAUGGUCUUAAUAUGACUUUGCGUAUUAGAUGUUUUUAGUGACUCUAUUUUUUUUUUUUUGAAAUGUUAAAUUUAUUUAUCAACAACAGCGAAAAUGUUUACAAUACUGAAUAUUUGGUAAGAUUACAAAACUUGCAUAAAACUUGAAUUGGAUACGAGACUUGCAAGCCUUUUCUAAAUGCUUCGCUCCAGCCACCUAAUCAUCAUGCUUCCGUAGAAAGCCACAUUCUUGAAAUGUAAAGAGGACACUCUGUUUCUAAUGGUUUUAUCCAUUGUGCGAAUGAGUUCUGAUGCAUUACGAUAGGUAGUAUUAUGCUUCCUAUUGUUUCUUUCGCACCAAACUCCAUGGAUAACUGUUUGGAAUGUCAAACAAAGAAGGCACAGAUCAACAGCACUACGUCAAGGAGAGAGGAGUGUUGUCACCGUGAAGUUCCAAUCAGGAGAAGGGCGUGGCAAGAUGGCUUUGGUAAGUUCUGUCCAGAUGGUGUAUGAGUAUGGACAAGCAAAGAAAAGGUGGUCGCGAGUCUCAUUCGGUUCUCUACAGAGGCGACAAGCUUAGUUUUAGUGACUCUAUUUCAAUGGAGUAGAUAACCUUUUUGUUAUAUUGAUCAAAAAAGUUAAAAUUAAUGUAUAAAAUUAAUUAAGUAUUAGAAUAAGACUUGACCAAACUAAACUAAAAAAAAAACUAAAAUACAAUAAAAUUAGAAUCAACACACAUUAUAUAAUAAUUAUAAAUGAAAGUCGAAUCAGUUUAAAUAUGUAAUUCUUGCGUAGUGCAGAAAAAAUCUCUAGGUUACUCCUUUUCCUUUUGUACAAAAUCGUUGUGCAACUUGAUCGAAACCUAAACAUUUCAUAAUCCAAAUUUUACUUAAUCAUUAUAUUGGGACAUAAAACUAUAUCUUUUUUUGUUUAACUGCCAUAAACUGUACCAAAUUCAAUUUUUUGGUCAACCUAUUUCAGAUAUUUUUUAUCCACCACAAAUCAAAUUUAAAGUCCAGUAAAAACUAUAAAAUUAAAUAAUUUUGUAACUAUAUAGUUUUAAGAUUUUCUAGAGUUAUUAACUUAAAAUAACAGCUAAUUACAAUUCUAUAUUUUUAAAUUUUAUUUUGGAUAAAAUAAGAAAAAUAAUUUAAUUUAUUGUUCGUAUAAAUUAUUAAACUUUUAAAUCCGAAUUUAAUAUUCUUUUCUUACACUAUUUAAUUUAUAUAUUUACAACUACCUAAGUAAACCCUAACCCACAUAAAAUCAACUUUUAAACAUGAAAACGUUAUUGAUCAAUCAAAUUAGUACGAAGAUAAGAUACGAAAACAUCAACACAUGAAUUUCUUGGUCAUUAUUAUAUCAAUCUAAUUAAGCUGUGUGACUUCCAAUGUUCUAUUCAUCACCAUUGUAAACAACACAGAAAAAACAAGAAUUAGAAAAAAAGAACAAAGAAAAGAAUCCCUACACAAAAUUACUCAAGG
Brassica rapa (field mustard) is the source of this 6501-nucleotide long non-coding RNA. RefSeq lists it as uncharacterized. NCBI's taxonomy places the organism in Eukaryota, Viridiplantae, Streptophyta, Magnoliopsida, Brassicales, Brassicaceae. The record is from RefSeq and is a predicted model, not a curated record.